RNAcentral lists this ribosomal RNA (253 nucleotides) under uncultured bacterium. Its description in RNAcentral is "partial 16S ribosomal RNA". It matches the Rfam family "Bacterial small subunit ribosomal RNA", at positions 524 to 776 of the family's 1533-position model. The record is from RNAcentral.
UACGUAGGGUGCGAGCGUUAAUCGGAAUUACUGGGCGUAAAGCGUGCGUAGGCGGUUGGCAAAGUCAGCUGUGAAAGCCCCGGGCUUAACCUGGGAAUGGCGGUUGAAACUAGUCGACUAGAAUCUGGCAGAGGGGGGUGGAAUUCCAGGUGUAGCAGUGAAAUGCGUAGAGAUCUGGAGGAACACCGAUGGCGAAGGCAGCCCCCUGGGUUAACACUGACGCUCAUGCACGAAAGCGUGGGGAGCAAACAGG